AGUUCUCGUGCUUUUUUGUUUCACUCAAUUAGAAUUCCUACUCUUGCUAGUUUGAGAUAAGAAGUCAUUUGCAUCACGUGCAAAUUUUUCUAUCCAUUUAAAAGUCUGUGUUUAUUGUUUUUGUGAUCUCUGAUUAGACUGGAGUUAUUUAAAGCAUAGUUAUUUAUCCUUUAACUUGUUUUUCCGAACAUAAUUAAUUGAUUUGCUUGGACACAUACAUAUUACUCUUACCACCGCCUCGAAGAUAACCUAAAUUCCAUUGGGAGCCCCUUUCUCAUUACAAGUAACCCUAGGCCGAUGUUCACCUACAUAAGUACAUACAAAUAUACAUAAGAGGCAAAGAAAACAACCACAUACAGAACAAAGAGAAGGUAGAAAGGGUAUGAGUAAAGAGCAGGGGACGACUUAAGAAAGGCGCAAAGAAUCAGGUGAAGAGAGGAGUCCAGGGUCUCCACCUUCGGUCAUGCUCUCCCGCUUGUAUUGCCUUGCGGUGACCCCUGCUUCUCCCUCUCUACCUUCGUUUCGUCCCCCCCUCUGUGCUCCACUUUGGCUGCAGGUAGAGAUUACAAAACGGUUCGGCCUGUUUAUUGAGCCGCAGCAAAUGCAACGACUCAAAGGGGGAGCGAGAGCAGUAAAGAGAUGUGCUCAGACACAGAAGGGCGGCGAGCAGCAGCAAAUGCAAAGAGUCAAAGAGGGAGCGGGAGCAUUAAAGAGGUGUGCUCAGUGACAGAAGGCCGGUGUGAGAAGUAGGAAGCCGACACAUAAAUCGCUGCGUUGGCCCCUGCACACAGAAAAAAAUAAUGAAAAGUCGCCGCCUGUGGUGCCCCCAUCGACUUCGUUUCUGUUUUAUAUCUGGCCGAUCAAGUGUGGCUAUAUGUUCAAUAUGCAGUCAAUAGUAAAAGUGUAAUAAUGCGUUGUUGGAUUAAGACAGAUCUUCACGUGUGAGUGUGUGAGCGGCAGAGCGUCAGCAGAGGUGAUAAAAGUCACGUGAGCUGCAGAGUGGAGCAGAGAGCGGAGAGGAGGAGGAGGAGGAGGCGAAGUUGGAGAGGGAAUAUGGAGAGAACUCGGGUACAGGCGACGAUCAGCGGAGCUCAUUAGGCGGCAGUUGUUGUUAUAACUGUAAUGUGAUGUAAGCUUCGUGCCAAGUCUCUACAGAUGUACCAGUAUAAUAGAUAUCUGGGUUGCCUUUGUUACAGUUUUCCCGAUUCAAAUGGCCGACCUGCGAAACCGUAAAACUCCCCUCGCUGUGGAUGCAUUUGUAAUUAGCUGAAUUCGCAUUUCGUUACACGCUCCACAGCCCAUUCACAAUGCGAUGCGUCAAUGAAAUGCAUUCGAGAAGGAAGCGUCCGAUUAGGCCAACCCACACCCAUCGAGCCCACCUGUGCACUUUUGCACCUGUCGCUUCAAACUUGAAGCUAACGCACAACCGAUCGAUUGGUAUUAUUAUGGCAUUAUCGCGACUCAAGUUCAACGAACUAUCGCCAAGACAGUGGCACAAGGAGAACGACCAGCAGCCAAUUAAAGUCAAAUAAUUGGCAAUAAUUAACUUCGCAUAUCAAGUAUACGCAUCAAGUCCACAUAUCAAGUAUACGCUGCGUAGGCCCAAAGGAAGUGGCUGUGUCCAAAUUUUACAACUGCCUUAUUUUUAUGGUGCUCACAACGGAAUGAUGGUUCAAAAGCCUCAAAGGAAAGUGCAUUUCUUGGUCAUAAAAGUUUUGCCUGUAUACUUGGAAAUCAAUCAGCUUUAUAUAUAUGAUAUGGAGUGAAGCAGACUUUGCAAAAUGCCCACCCUGAGUGAGGUCGAACACCUGGCGCGGAUUGAGCAGAUGCUGGAACUUUCCCA
This is a long non-coding RNA of Drosophila serrata, 1843 nucleotides long. NCBI's taxonomy places the organism in Eukaryota, Metazoa, Arthropoda, Insecta, Diptera, Drosophilidae. The record is from RefSeq and is a predicted model, not a curated record.